Molecule: ribosomal RNA, 713 nt
Filed under: Salmonella enterica
Lineage: Bacteria; Pseudomonadati; Pseudomonadota; Gammaproteobacteria; Enterobacterales; Enterobacteriaceae
Also listed under: 2 other names
Description: bacterial SSU rRNA
Rfam family: Bacterial small subunit ribosomal RNA
Source: RNAcentral
AUGUCUACUUGGAGGUUGUGCCCUUGAGGCGUGGCUUCCGGAGCUAACGCGUUAAGUAGACCGCCUGGGGAGUACGGCCGCAAGGUUAAAACUCAAAUGAAUUGACGGGGGCCCGCACAAGCGGUGGAGCAUGUGGUUUAAUUCGAUGCAACGCGAAGAACCUUACCUGGUCUUGACAUCCACAGAAGAAUCCAGAGAUGGAUUUGUGCCUUCGGGAACUGUGAGACAGGUGCUGCAUGGCUGUCGUCAGCUCGUGUUGUGAAAUGUUGGGUUAAGUCCCGCAACGAGCGCAACCCUUAUCCUUUGUUGCCAGCGGUUAGGCCGGGAACUCAAAGGAGACUGCCAGUGAUAAACUGGAGGAAGGUGGGGAUGACGUCAAGUCAUCAUGGCCCUUACGACCAGGGCUACACACGUGCUACAAUGGCGCAUACAAAGAGAAGCGACCUCGCGAGAGCAAGCGGACCUCAUAAAGUGCGUCGUAGUCCGGAUUGGAGUCUGCAACUCGACUCCAUGAAGUCGGAAUCGCUAGUAAUCGUGGAUCAGAAUGCCACGGUGAAUACGUUCCCGGGCCUUGUACACACCGCCCGUCACACCAUGGGAGUGGGUUGCAAAAGAAGUAGGUAGCUUAACCUUCGGGAGGGCGCUUACCACUUUGUGAUUCAUGACUGGGGUGAAGUCGUAACAAGGUAACCGUAGGGGAACCUGCGGUUGGA